GCAUCGGUAGUUCAGUAGUAGAAUGCUCGCCUGCAACGCGGGCGGCCCGGGUUCGAUUCCCGGCCGAUGCA
RNAcentral lists this transfer RNA (71 nucleotides) under Cordylochernes scorpioides. RNAcentral's name for it is "tRNA-Cys". It matches the Rfam family "tRNA". Rfam says of the family: Transfer RNA (tRNA) molecules are approximately 80 nucleotides in length. Their secondary structure includes four short double-helical elements and three loops (D, anti-codon, and T loops). Lineage: Eukaryota; Metazoa; Arthropoda; Arachnida; Pseudoscorpiones; Chernetidae. The record is from RNAcentral.